AAGAUUAACUGCACAGGGUGCGAGACAGUUGAUUUCAGAUCCCUUUGAAGACCUUCCAGGGCGUAAUUAUGCUUUGUUCUCUUGUGCUACUGUAUGGAGGCAGAACUCACAGAAGUCCUUAAUAUCUGUGCAUGCAGUUCUACCAAUGACCUCUGAAGGAGGAGGAAAGGAAUCAAAGAAGAGGCAAAGGAAUCAGAGAGGAGUCAGAGCAAAGAUACUGUAAGCAGUAAGUUUAGUUUGGAAUUUGUAUAAAAAUAUAGGCUUGUGCCUCUAGUUAAAUGGCUUGGUUUCACUGACUUUUAUAAUACAAAUAUCACCUUUGGAAUUUAUUCAAACAAAAUGCUUGCAGGUUUUCACUGUUUUGCAUUAAUUGAGGGGCCCAUUCUUCAGCCAGGCUAAGUGAAUAGUCUUCAAACAAAUUGAGUAGUGGACCUGGGUGCAACUGAGUACCUAUUCCUUAUUAUGGGCUAGAUAAACAGCUUAUUAGGGCUCAACAUUGUGCUGAUAACAAUGAUAAUAUGAAAACAAAAUGUUAAGGAAAACUCUACACAGUUAACUCAAAUGCAUUUGAUUACCAGGUUUUCCUGAGUUUCUGAACUCUUUCUGGUAAGUAGUGUGGCUAAGACUUUAUUAACUGAGGUGAUACUCUGCUAAGACAUUUAUUUUUCUAAGAAAGAAACGUAGCAUCUUCUUCACUGUUUAUGUGAAUAGCACUUGGUUGUCCCCAGUUACUUGUGUAGCUCAUCUGUCUGUCAGGGUAUAGUUCAGCUGCUUCUGCAAGAUAUUUUAGACUGCUGUUUAUUCAAGUUUUCUUUAUUUUCACUUUGACCAGCUUUAUCUGGUUACUUUUAGAGAAGUCCCAGUUUAGUUUGAAAGAAUGCUUGUUUGCUGAAAUAGUGAAACUUGACUGAAUACUGGAGGCAGUUUCUUGGCAGUGAAUUUUGAGCUUACAAAAUUCAAUAUUCUGUGUGAAUAUUUGAAUGUGACUUCUUCAUCCACUGAGUGGAACAGAAAAACUGCCGUGAGACUUGCUUAUUUUAAUUAGGCCUGCCAGCCAGAAUUUAAAUAUUAAAGUACUUUUUAUUAAGCGGCUUAAAAUAAGGAGUAGGAUAAGAAUUAGUCAGAACUUUGGUGAUGAUUUAAAGUGUAAUAAAUUUUCUGCAGUUGCAGCUCUUCUAUGAAGU
Molecule: long non-coding RNA, 1184 nt
Filed under: Anser cygnoides (Swan goose)
Lineage: Eukaryota; Metazoa; Chordata; Aves; Anseriformes; Anatidae
Description: lncRNA (ENSACDG00005000190.1)
Source: RNAcentral